CCUACGGGUGGCAGCAGUGGGGAAUAUUGGACAAUGGGCGCAAGCCUGACCCAGCAACGCCGCGUGAAGGAAGAAGGCUUUCGGUUUGUAAACUUCUUUUAGGAGGGAAGAGCAUAAGACGGUACCUCUUGAAUGAGCCACGGCUAAAUACGUGCCAGCAGCCGCGGUAAUACGUAGGGGGCAAGCGUUGUCCGGAUUUACUGUGUGUAAAGGGCGUGUAGCCGGGAAGACAAGUCAGAUGUGAAAGCCCGGGGCUCAACCGCGGAACUGCAUUUGAAAGUGUUUUUCUUGAGUGCCGGAGAGGUCAGUGGAAUUCCUUGUGUAGCGGUGAAAUGCGUAGAUAUAAGGAAGAACACCAGUGGCGAAGGCGGAUGACUGGACGGCAACUGACGGUGAGGCGCGAAAGCGUGGGGAGCAAACAGGAUUAGAUACCCCAGUAGUC
This 442-nucleotide ribosomal RNA is filed under the name uncultured bacterium. Its description in RNAcentral is "partial 16S ribosomal RNA". It matches the Rfam family "Bacterial small subunit ribosomal RNA", at positions 338 to 795 of the family's 1533-position model. The record is from RNAcentral.